AUUGAACGCUGGCGGCAGGCUUAACACAUGCAAGUCGAACGGUAACAGGAAGAAAGCUUACUUUCUUUGCUGACGAGUGGCGGACGGGUGAGUAAUGCUUGGGAAUCUGCCUUAUGGAGGGGGAUAACUACGGGAAACUGUAGCUAAUACCGCGUAAUAUCUUCGGAUUAAAGUGUGGGACCUUCGGGCCACAUGCCAUAAGAUGAGCCCAAGUGAGAUUAGGUAGUUGGUGAGGUAAAGGCUCACCAAGCUGACGAUCUCUAGCUGGUUUGAGAGGAUGACCAGCCACACUGGAACUGAGACACGGUCCAGACUCCUACGGGAGGCAGCAGUGGGGAAUAUUGCACAAUGGGCGCAAGCCUGAUGCAGCCAUGCCGCGUGAAUGAAGAAGGCUUUCGGGUUGUAAAGUUCUUUCAGCGAUGAGGAAGGUGCAUUAUCUAAUAGGUGAUGUAAUUGACGUUAGUCGCAGAAGAAGCACCGGCUAACUCCGUGCCAGCAGCCGCGGUAAUACGGAGGGUGCGAGCGUUAAUCGGAAUAACUGGGCGUAAAGGGCACGCAGGCGGUUGUCUAAGUCAGAUGUGAAAGCCCCGAGCUUAACUUGGGAAUUGCAUUUGAGACUGGGCGACUAGAGUCCUCUAGGGAGGGGUAGAAUUCCACGUGUAGCGGUGAAAUGCGUAGAGAUGUGGAGGAAUACCGAAGGCGAAGGCGGCCCCUUGGAGAGAGACUGACGCUGAGUGCGAAAGCGUGGGUAGCAAACAGG
Molecule: ribosomal RNA, 760 nt
Filed under: uncultured bacterium
Lineage: Bacteria
Description: bacterial SSU rRNA
Rfam family: Bacterial small subunit ribosomal RNA
Source: RNAcentral